GUUUGAUCCUGUCUCAGGAUGAACGCUGGCGGCGUGCCUAAUACAUGCAAGUCGAGCGAACGGACGAGAAGCUUGCUUCUCUGAUGUUAGCGGCGGACGGGUGAGUAACACGUGGAUAACCUACCUAUAAGACUGGGAUAACUUCGGGAAACCGGAGCUAAUACCGGAUAAUAUUUUGAACCGCAUGGUUCAAAAGUGAAAGACGGUCUUGCUGUCACUUAUAGAUGGAUCCGCGCUGCAUUAGCUAGUUGGUAAGGUAACGGCUUACCAAGGCAACGAUGCAUAGCCGACCUGAGAGGGUGAUCGGCCACACUGGAACUGAGACACGGUCCAGACUCCUACGGGAGGCAGCAGUAGGGAAUCUUCCGCAAUGGGCGAAAGCCUGACGGAGCAACGCCGCGUGAGUGAUGAAGGUCUUCGGAUCGUAAAACUCUGUUAUUAGGGAAGAACAUAUGUGUAAGUAACUGUGCACAUUCUGU
Molecule: ribosomal RNA, 479 nt
Filed under: Staphylococcus aureus
Lineage: Bacteria; Bacillati; Bacillota; Bacilli; Caryophanales; Staphylococcaceae
Description: bacterial SSU rRNA
Rfam family: Bacterial small subunit ribosomal RNA
Source: RNAcentral